Molecule: ribosomal RNA, 534 nt
Filed under: uncultured bacterium
Lineage: Bacteria
Description: bacterial SSU rRNA
Rfam family: Bacterial small subunit ribosomal RNA
Source: RNAcentral
AAUAGAUACCCCGGGGUAGUCCAUGCCGUAAACGUUGGGCACUAGGUGUGGGGCUCAUUCCACGAGUUCCGUGCCGCAGCAAACGCAUUAAGUGCCCCGCCUGGGGAGUACGGCCGCAAGGCUAAAACUCGAAGGAAUUGACGGGGGCCCGCACAAGCGGCGGAGCAUGCGGAUUAAUUCGAUGCAACGCGAAGAACCUUACCAAGGCUUGACAUGCACGGGAAGCCACCAGAGAUGGUGGUCUCUUUGGACACUCGUGCACAGGUGGUGCAUGGUUGUCGUCAGCUCGUGUCGUGAGAUGUUGGGUUAAGUCCCGCAACGAGUGCAACCCUCGUCCCAUGUUGCCAGCGGGUUAUGCCGGGGACUCAUGGGAGACUGCUGGGGUCAACUCGGAGGAAGGUGGGGAUGACGUCAAAUCAUCAUCGCCCCUUAUGCCUUGGGCUUCACGCAUGCUACAAUGGCCGGUACGAAAGGGCGUGCGAUACCGUAAGGUGGAGCGAAUACCAAAACGCCGGUCUCGAGUUCGGAUUGGGU